This 482-nucleotide ribosomal RNA is filed under the name uncultured bacterium. RNAcentral describes it as "partial 16S ribosomal RNA". It matches the Rfam family "Bacterial small subunit ribosomal RNA", at positions 30 to 507 of the family's 1533-position model. The record is from RNAcentral.
AUUGAGCGCUGGCGGCAUGCUUUACACAUGCAAGUCGUACGGUAACAGGCCGCAAGGUGCUGACGAGUGGCGAACGGGUGAGUAAUGCAUCGGAACGUGCCCAGUCGUGGGGGAUAACUACUCGAAAGAGUAGCUAAUACCGCAUACGAUCUAUGGAUGAAAGCGGGGGACCGUAAGGCCUCGCGCGAUUGGAGCGGCCGAUGUCAGAUUAGGUAGUUGGUGGGGUAAAGGCUCACCAAGCCAACGAUCUGUAGCUGGUCUGAGAGGACGACCAGCCACACUGGGACUGAGACACGGCCCAGACUCCUACGGGAGGCAGCAGUGGGGAAUUUUGGACAAUGGGCGCAAGCCUGAUCCAGCAAUGCCGCGUGCAGGAAGAAGGCCUUCGGGUUGUAAACUGCUUUUGUACGGAACGAAACGGCUCUGGUUAAUACCCGGGGCUAAUGACGGUACCGUAAGAAUAAGCACCGGCUAACUACGUG